CUUUCGGGAGAGAUAAAACCUAGUGCCACCUUUAUGCAUGACUGUAAACAGUUUCAAAUUUAGGGAUCAGUGAAAGGGCAAAGAGAAAACAGUGAAAGGGCAAAGAGGGCAGACCCUUGGAUGAAAACAGCUUCGCCGAGAUGUUGCUCAAAGGUCCAUGGUUCUAUAUCUGCA
Long non-coding RNA from Brassica napus (rape), 174 nucleotides. RefSeq lists it as uncharacterized. Lineage: Eukaryota; Viridiplantae; Streptophyta; Magnoliopsida; Brassicales; Brassicaceae. The transcript is spliced from 2 exons. The record is from RefSeq and is a predicted model, not a curated record.